UCUUUCCUCCCGAGUGCUUGCACUCAAUUGGAAAGAGGGGUGGCGGACGGGUGAGUAACACGUGGGUAACCUACCCAUCAGAGGGGGAUAACACUUGGAAACAGGUGCUAAUACCGCAUAACAGUUUAUGCCGCAUGGCAUAAGAGUGAAAGGCGCUUUCGGGUGUCGCUGAUGGAUGGACCCGCGGUGCAUUAGCUAGUUGGUGAGGUAACGGCUCACCAAGGCCACGAUGCAUAGCCGACCUGAGAGGGUGAUCGGCCACACUGGGACUGAGACACGGCCCAGACUCCUACGGGAGGCAGCAGUAGGGAAUCUUCGGCAAUGGACGAAAGUCUGACCGAGCAACGCCGCGUGAGUGAAGAAGGUUUUCGGAUCGUAAAACUCUGUUGUUAGAGAA
RNAcentral lists this ribosomal RNA (397 nucleotides) under uncultured Enterococcus sp. RNAcentral's name for it is "bacterial SSU rRNA". It matches the Rfam family "Bacterial small subunit ribosomal RNA", at positions 62 to 446 of the family's 1533-position model. The record is from RNAcentral. Lineage: Bacteria; Bacillati; Bacillota; Bacilli; Lactobacillales; Enterococcaceae.